RNAcentral lists this ribosomal RNA (254 nucleotides) under uncultured bacterium. RNAcentral describes it as "partial small subunit ribosomal RNA". It matches the Rfam family "Bacterial small subunit ribosomal RNA", at positions 26 to 285 of the family's 1533-position model. The record is from RNAcentral.
AGGACGAACGCUGGCGGCGUGCUUAACACAUGCAAGUCGAGCGGAAAGGCCCUUCGGGGUACUCGAGCGGCGAACGGGUGAGUAACACGUGAGCAACCUGCCCUUAGCUCUGGGAUAGCUCCGGGAAAACCGGAAUUAAUACCGGAUACGACCUAGGCCGACAUCGGCCAUGGGUGGAAAGUUUUUCGGCUAGGGAUGGACUCGCGGCCUAUCAGCUAGUUGGUGGGGUAAAGCCUACAAGGCGACGACGAGUA